UUAAUGGACAGACAAGGAAGAAAAAGUCUUCUAAUUACAAGCUUUCUGGGAAUGGCUGCUUCCAUGUUGCUGCUUUCCUUGACCUUCACUUGGAAGGUCCUGGCACCAUAUUCUGGCACCCUUGCUGUUCUUGGGACUGUUUGCUAUGUGUUGUCCUUUUCACUUGGUGCUGGUCCCGUGCCUGCUCUUCUUCUGCCAGAGAUAUUUGCCUCAAGAAUCAGAGCAAAAGCAGUUGCUUUAUCCUUGGGCAUGCAUUGGAUC
This 261-nucleotide unclassified non-coding RNA is filed under the name Hevea brasiliensis (rubber tree). The record is from RNAcentral. Lineage: Eukaryota; Viridiplantae; Streptophyta; Magnoliopsida; Malpighiales; Euphorbiaceae.